RNAcentral lists this long non-coding RNA (628 nucleotides) under Equus asinus (donkey). RNAcentral's name for it is "lncRNA (ENSEASG00005029681.1)". The record is from RNAcentral. Lineage: Eukaryota; Metazoa; Chordata; Mammalia; Perissodactyla; Equidae.
GUAGGCGGCGCGCGGGCCGCUCUGCGCCAGGCAGGGCCUGUCGGCCGCGCGCGUCUGGGCGUGUCUGGAGGACCGGCGCCGUUUCCUGGAGGUCGCCGGCCGCGGGGAGUAGAGUGGGCUUCCUCGCUCCUGCUCUUGCGCCGUGUGCAGUGUUUCCCCCCCUUGCUGCUUUUUUCCCUGUCACCAGAGUUUUCUUGACAGUAUGCCGUGUGCUUAACGAUGUUGUAGGUGCUGCGGGGAUUCAGAAGUGAAUUUGAUGAGGACCCUCGCCCAGUGUCCUAGGAGUUUUAAGCCUACAGCAGAUGAAGAGAUAACAAUGCAAGAUGGUACUUGGUGUGCAUGAAGAUUUAUUUAACUACUGUUGGACAUGUAUGGGGAGACAUGAGCAGAGAUGAAGACUGGAAUUUCAGGCAUCUGCCUGCAGAUUAGCCCUGAGCUAACAUCCGCUGCCAAUCCUCCUCUUUUUGCUGAAGAAGACUGGCCCUGAGCUAACAUCCAUGCCCAUCUUUCUCCACUUUAUAUGUGGGACGCCUACCACAGCAUGGCUUGCCAACUGGUGCCAUGUCCACACUGGGGAUCUGAACCAGCGAACCUGGGGCACCAAAGCAGAACGUGCGCACUUAACCAC